UACGGAGGGUGCAAGCGUUGCUCGGAAUUAUUGGGCGUAAAGGGCAGGUAGGUGGUCUCAUUUGUCUAGGGUGAAAUCCUUGAGCUUAACUCAAGAAGUGCCCUAGAAACGGUGAGACUGGAGUCUUGGAGAGGGUCGUGGAAUUCCCGGUGUAGCGGUGAAAUGCGUAGAUAUCAGGAGGAACACCGGUGGUGUAGACGGCUUUCUGGACCGCAACUGACGCUGAGACACGAAAGCGUGGGUAGCAAACAGG
Molecule: ribosomal RNA, 253 nt
Filed under: uncultured bacterium
Lineage: Bacteria
Description: partial 16S ribosomal RNA
Rfam family: Bacterial small subunit ribosomal RNA
Source: RNAcentral